CGGCCGGGAAGAAAUCGCAUGGGUCAAUACCCUGUGUGGAUGACGGUACCGGAAUAAGAAGCACCGGCUAACUACGUGCCAGCAGCCGCGGUAAUACGUAGGGUGCGAGCGUUAAUCGGAAUUACUGGGCGUAAAGCGUGCGCAGGCGGUUUGGUAAGUCAGAUGUGAAAUCCCCGGGCUCAACCUGGGAACUGCAUUUGAGACUGCCAAGCUGGAGUUUGGCAGAGGGGGGUGGAAUUCCACGUGUAGCAGUGAAAUGCGUAGAGAUGUGGAGGAACACCGAUGGCGAAGGCAGCCCCCUGGGCCAAUACUGACGCUCAUGCACGAAAGCGUGGGGAGCAAACAGGAUUAGAUACCCUGGUAGUCCACGCCCUAAACGAUGUCAACUAGUUGUCGGGCCUUAUUAGGUUUGGUAACGUAGCUAACGCGUGAAGUUGACCGCCUGGGGAGUACGGUCGCAAGAUUAAAACUCAAAGGAAUUGACGGGGACCCGCACAAGCGGUGGAUUAUGUGGAUUAAUUCGAU
Molecule: ribosomal RNA, 525 nt
Filed under: uncultured bacterium
Lineage: Bacteria
Description: bacterial SSU rRNA
Rfam family: Bacterial small subunit ribosomal RNA
Source: RNAcentral